RNAcentral lists this unclassified non-coding RNA (390 nucleotides) under soil metagenome. RNAcentral's name for it is "partial contains 5.8S ribosomal RNA, internal transcribed spacer 2, and large subunit ribosomal RNA". The stretch from base 1 to 122 matches the Rfam family "5.8S ribosomal RNA", at positions 35 to 154 of the family's 154-position model. The record is from RNAcentral.
GAUGAAGAACGCAGCGAAAUGCGAUACUUGGUGUGAAUUGCAGAAUCCCGUGAACCAUCGAGUCUUUGAACGCAAGUUGCGCCCGAAGCCACUAGGCCGAGGGCACGCCUGCCUGGGCGUCACACGCCGUUGCCCCCCCAUCUACUCCUUCGGGAUUGCGGGGGGGCGGAUGAUGGCCUCCCGUGCGCCUAGCCGCGCGGUUGGCAUAAAUACCAAGUCCUCGGCGACGCACGCCACGACAAUCGGUGGUUGCGAAACCUCGGUUGCCCGUCGUGUGCGUUCGUCGCGCAUCGAGGGCUCGAAAAAAUGCUCGGCUCCGGCUGGGCUUUCAACGCGACCCCAGGUCAGGCGGGGUUACCCGCUGAAUUUAAGCAUAUCAAUAAGCGGGGA